GAUGAACGCUGGCGGCGUGCCUAAUACAUGCAAGUCGAGCGAACGGACGAGAAGCUUGCUUCGCUGAUGUUAGCGGCGGACGGGUGAGUAACACGUGGAUAACCUACCUAUAAGACUGGGAUAACUUCGGGAAACCGGAGCUUACACCGGAUGAUAUUUUGAACCGCAUGGUUCAAAAGUGAAAGACGGUCUUGCUGUCACUUAUCGAUGGUUCCGCGCUGCAUUAGCUAGUUGGUAGGGUAACGGCUUACCAAGGCAACGAUGCAUAGCCGACCUGUGAGGGGGGUAGGCGACACUGGAACUUGGACACGGUCCAGACUCCUGCGGGAGGGAGCAGUAGGGUAUCUGCCGCAGUAGGCGGAAGCCUUGCGGAGCGACGGCGCGUGAGUGGUGAAGGUCUUCGGAUCGUAAUGCUCUGUUUUUAGGGAAGAACAUAUGUGUACGUAGCUGUGCCGAUCGUGACGGUACCUAAUCAGGAAGCCACGGCUAACUACGUG
Molecule: ribosomal RNA, 497 nt
Filed under: uncultured bacterium
Lineage: Bacteria
Description: partial 16S ribosomal RNA
Rfam family: Bacterial small subunit ribosomal RNA
Source: RNAcentral